Long non-coding RNA from Passer montanus (Eurasian tree sparrow), 408 nucleotides. RefSeq lists it as uncharacterized. The record is from RefSeq and is a predicted model, not a curated record. NCBI's taxonomy places the organism in Eukaryota, Metazoa, Chordata, Aves, Passeriformes, Passeridae. The transcript is spliced from 2 exons.
CCCUGCAGGUUCUUCCGCCUUCCGGGUGCUCGACACCGAGUUCUGAUGUUGAGCAGCGCCCGGACUGCUGCUGCGCCCCCCAGGACCCCCCAGAUUUGGGGCUGGGGUCCCCCCAAAAAACUCCACGACGUCGGGGACGCCCCAAAACUCCUCGUGGGGGGGGGUCCUUGGACUGCAGACCCCCCCCAAAUCCCCCCUCCCCCACCUGAGGAACUGCUGCUGGAUUUUGGGGAGGGGGUUCACGUGGGACCCCCAUUCUGGGGGGGUCUGGGGGGGAUUUGGGGUCCCCCCCGUUUUUUGGGGUCCCCUCCCCAUUUUUGGGGUCCCCCCCAUUUUUUGGGGGGGGUCUCCCCCCCCGGUUUACGUCGAGUUUUAUUUUUUCAAGGCAAUAUUAUAAAUCAGAGUCUA